UCUUUAACUGCAGACAUCAUGCUUAUGUUUUGUUUUUUAACAGAAAGCCUGUGAGAAGACUGUUUCUGUGAUGCAGCAUGUCAUUAAGAGGACUAUUACCUACGCCAAGGAGGCAGCUGGUCCUGACCGGAGACCAAGUCCUGCAGAGCUGGAGCUGAGAAUGGUGCAGAGUAAAGCAGACAUUGAGGAUCCAGAAAUAACUGCUGUGGUCCUGUAGGGUUUCACUUCCAAUUUAAUUUAGACUGCCUUAUGCUCAUACAUGCAAUAACAAUCUUGCUUCAGAGGACACAAAGUCAUUAACAGGUAGAGCAGGAACGACUUGUGAAUGAAUGAAUGAAUGAAUGGCUGACUGACUGUGACUGAACCACACAUGUAAAAUCAUUACGAGAUAAUAACCAAAUACUAACUUUAUGCAAUGUUAAAAUAUAUCUUGGAUUUCAGUACUGUAUAGAGAUGGAGAUGUGCUGCUUGUAACGUUCUAGAAACACUGAUCAUGAUGUAUGCUGCUAGAAUGGGAUUUUUUUUCCCAAGUAUAAUGUAAUUGAGAGACAGCUACUAUAAUACAUUCACAAUUACUUUCUCAUUGUAAAUGAGACGACAGGUUAAGAUCACUACCUGAUUGGAGUAGGACAUGAUUGCUUAUAAUGUUUAAUGCCUGAGCACAUUCAUAUUAAUCUCAAUGUACAUAAGUUAAAUCCAUGUAACU
Molecule: long non-coding RNA, 706 nt
Organism: Silurus meridionalis
Lineage: Eukaryota; Metazoa; Chordata; Actinopteri; Siluriformes; Siluridae
Exons: 2
Source: RefSeq, a predicted model, not a curated record